This is a long non-coding RNA of Eriocheir sinensis (Chinese mitten crab), 357 nucleotides long. RefSeq lists it as uncharacterized. NCBI's taxonomy places the organism in Eukaryota, Metazoa, Arthropoda, Malacostraca, Decapoda, Varunidae. The record is from RefSeq and is a predicted model, not a curated record. The transcript has 2 exons.
UUAAAAUGGAGUCCAGAGCAAGUCUCACUCACAUUGUCCCCAAAUUUUCCAGAGCCAUAACUGAAGACUGGAGUUUCACCACUGUCGUCUAACCAACCUGGCAAGGAAAUAUUUGGAGAUUUAGCCAGAUGUGUGAUGGAUCCAUUCUGUAGUACAUAUUGAUCCAGUUUCGUGCUGCUGAAAUAUUUGGAGAUUUAGCCAGAUGUGUGAUGAUCCAUUCUGUAGUACAUAUUGAUCCAGUUUCGUCUAGAGAUGUUUAGGCACCAUCAUCUCUACUUUGAAGCUGCUGCUAGACUUAUGAUCUUCAAUGUUAUUGGUUUGGUAUUUAUUGAAUAAAUUUCCUUUAAAAUACUCUGA